This 7129-nucleotide long non-coding RNA is filed under the name Panax ginseng (ginseng). Its description in RNAcentral is "long non-coding RNA (PGIN_LNC013725)". The record is from RNAcentral. Lineage: Eukaryota; Viridiplantae; Streptophyta; Magnoliopsida; Apiales; Araliaceae.
UCUCGUCACUUUUAGCUACGGAUUAUUGCAUAAGAGGGUGUUAUGUGUCGGUUCGCUGAAAGUACCGAAUGCAAAAUAUUAUAUAAAAAUGUGUAUUUAAUUCUUUAUUUUAUUGUGAUUCUAUUUGGGCAUGUUCUCUAUCCAACCAAAAGUUAGAAAGUUUAAAGCACAAAAAAUUUCACUAAAUAUGAAUAGAUAUAAGUCCAAUUGAUAUACUCUGUAGGAUUCCAGGAAGUAUUUCUAGUAAGAGUUUUAAAAUUCAUAUCAUUGUUAUUGGUGGAAAGAUUUCUUUAAUAUGUUAUGUCAAGAAUUAAAAUAAUAAUAUGCAAUCUAAUUUAAUAAGAUGACUGUCCUUGAGUAAAAGGAGUCUAAUGAAUGUGAUCCAUGUUUGGUAUAAGGAGUAGUUUAUUUUUUUGUGAUUUUACAAAUUAUUAUGAUGCUUGAGCUUGCUUACUGCCAAAGUCCUAUUAUCUGCAGAAUGCAAGUCAAUGUUAAUAUAAGUGAAUCUGUCGGUUCAUAUUAAUUGAACUUCGUGUACGCUAAGUACUAAGCCUCGGAACAAACUAAUGAAUUGAACUCUAAUCUACGCACUUAUUUCACAAGAGAAUAAUAUUUUGUCACUAUCAAAAUAGGACCAUAUCUGCUCCUAUAUAAACCAAUUUCCCAACACUUAUCAGCACACAAACAGCAUAGCUUCCUGAACUUCGGUAUUCAACAUCUAAGCAUGGCAUCUCAUUUAGCAAUUUCACUAGCAUUUGUAUUCUCAGUGCUACUAUUACUAGUGGCAGGCUCUGAUGCUGGUGGAAUUUCUAUAUACUGGGGUCAGAAUGGGGGAGAGGGAACCUUGGCAGAGACUUGUGCCACAGGGAACUAUGAAUAUGUAAACUUAGCAUUUCUGACGACGUUUGGCAAUGGCCAAACACCCAUGUUGAACCUAGCUGGUCAUUGUGAUCCUACCAGCAAUGGCUGCACUGGCUUAAGCUCGGAUAUCAAGUCGUGUCAAGCACAAGGAAUUAAAGUAAUACUUUCUAUAGGAGGAGCUUCUGGUAGUUACUCUCUUGUAUCGGCUGCAGAUGCCAGAGAAGUUGCAACCUAUAUUUGGAACAACUUUUUAGGAGGAAAUUCUGCUACUCGCCCUCUUGGGAUUGCUGUUCUGGAUGGGGUGGAUUUUGACAUCGAGGGAGGAACAAGUGCACAUUGGGAUGAUCUUGCAAGGUAUCUUUCUGCUUAUAGCAAGCGCGGUAAGAAAAUUUACUUAACUGCAGCCCCUCAGUGCCCUUACCCUGAUGCAUGGGUUGGAGGUGCCCUUCAAACCGGACUUUUUGACUAUGUUUGGGUUCAAUUCUAUAACAACCCUCCUUGCCAAUACUCUUCUAGUGCUAUAAGUAACCUUGAGGAUGCAUGGAAGCAAUGGACUUCAGAUAUUCUGGCAAAAAAGAUCUUUUUAGGCCUACCUGCAGCUCCUGAUGCAGCUGGAAGUGGCUUCAUUCCUGCAAGUGAUCUCACCUCACAAGUGCUUCCAGCAAUUAAGGGAUCGUCCAAGUAUGGUGGUGUGAUGCUGUGGUCUAAAUACUACGACGAUCAAUCUGGAUAUAGUUCUUCCAUCAAGAGCGACGUGUGAAGUCUAAAAAUACUUAUAUUGCACUGUGUAUUACAUAGUAGUCAAAUGAUUGUCUAAGAACACUUGAGUAUCAUCUUCGUGUUAUUGUAUGUGCAUAUAUGAAGACUAUUUAUCUGAAUGUGAUCCAUGUUUUGUAUAUGAAGUACUUUAUCUUUUGUGAUUUACAAAUUAUUCUGCCUUGGCCAAAAUCCCUAUGAUAUCUGCAAAAUGCAAGUCUAAUAAGUGAAUGGCCACUUUCUUCUAGCUAUGGGAUGGUAUAAUUUUCCAUCACAUAAUAUAUACAUACAUCUCAUCCGUUCCACAAAAAUAGUCCUAUUUAUAAAUUCUGUAAAUAUAAAGGAUAAAUUAUUUAUUCCAUAUAUGCCCCUAAAAUAGAAAAUUGUUCGUUUUGUACUGUGGUAUGAUAAUGACAUUAUGAUGCCAAACAAAUGCAUGAGGACUGCAUGUCAUUUUAUAUUACUGUGGUAUGUCUGUUUGUGGGGGGGAAAAAUAUCGCAUUCAUUCACAUUAUUAGAACUAUACUGGAAAAGGGGAUCUUAGAUGGGAAUGUGAGACUUGGAACAGACUAAACAAAGAGAAGGGGCUAGGGUGUUUGUUGAAUCUUGAUAGGUACUAGGAAUCAAGACCAUUACUAAUCUCUGAUGAAAAUGGAGUUUAGGCACAUUAUGUUCUUGUCCAUUUUUCGAUUAGUCUUCUAAACAAGUUGAAAUUGUUUGAAAUGGUCUAUAAAAAAGCCUAGUUGACACCAUUUAAGUAGUACUACUUUUUUCCUUAACAGAAAUACAUAAUUAUCUUAGACGGCGUUUGGCAUUAAGAUAGAAUUACACAUGACAAUAGGCUGAGAUUUGUUUUUGUGUCAAGGAGUUGGUAAAAGGCCUUUAAAGACAAAAUUUAGAACAAUUUGUUGAAAUAAAUUCUAAAUAGAACAUACCCUCAAAGUACACAUGAAAAAAAUUUACUUAAAUUAAAUAAAAUAAAAUAAAGAAGGCAAAUAUCUUAGGCUUAAGAGAAGGAAAAUUUAAAUGGGAAACUAGAGCUAAUGUCAAAAAAUAAAAGUGGAUAUAGCUCUUCCAUCAAGAAGCAUGUUUAAGAAUAAGUUUUAUAUUCUAAUUGUCAUUCUAAGUGAAUCCAAGGCCAUUUGAAUAAAGGUUUCGGUUACUUCAUCAAGAGACAAAGCGAUUUAAAAGCUGAAAGCUUUAGUUGUCAGAAUAAGGAGUUCUAUAAAAAUCAUGUUCCUCUAACACUGAAUGAACUUAAUUAGCUUAUACCAUUAGUUAUCUUAGCAUGGCAUCUUUUCAGUCUGCUAUAUCUAUGUUCAUUCCUAAUCAUGUGGUAGAAAGGUAUGGAUACCUUAACAUAGUUCUUCAUCUGUUUCAGCAGAAUAUCGCCUCAUCUGCAGAACUAGGGGUUGAAAUAACAAAAAGGAUAAAUUUCAUAAUGUUUUUGAUGACCUUAAGGACAACAUUAACAAACUAUGAAUUCUAAUAGUCCAAGAUCAUAUAUUUUGACAUUUGAUAUGAAAUAAGACAAUGUACCAUUCUUAGCAAACUUAUUUAAGCUUAUGCUUGACCAAUCUUAUAUAAAAAUAGAUAAUAAAGACAAAAGGAUGUUGACAAAGCUUAGAGAUAAUCAGAUUUCAGAUAUGAAUAUAGCUAUAAAAAAUUCUAAAGAUUUGGCUAAUAUCAUCAACCCCGUGUACGCUAACUAAGACUUAGAACAAACUAUUUAAUUGAACUCUAAACUACGCAGUUAUUUGACGUGAGAACAAUAUUUUGUCACUAUCAAAUAGGACCCUAUCUGCUGUUAUAUAAAGCAAUUUUUCCAGCACUUAUCAGCACACAAACAGCAUAGCUUUCUGUAGUUCAGUAUUCAACAACUAACUAACUAUGGCAUCUCAUUUGUCGAUUUCACUAGCAUUUGUGUUCUCAGUGGUACUAUUACUAGUGGCAAAUUCUGAUGCUGGUGGAAUUUCCAUCUACUGGGGUCAGAAUGGGGGAGAGGGAACCUUGGCAGAGACUUGUGCCACAGGGAACUAUGAAUAUGUAAACUUAGCAUUUCUGACGACGUUUGGCAAUGGCCAAACACCCAUGUUGAACCUAGCUGGUCAUUGUGAUCCUACCAGCAAUGGCUGCACUGGCUUAAGCUCAGAUAUCAAGUCGUGUCAAGCACAAGGAAUUAAGGUAAUACUUUCUAUAGGAGGAGCUUCAGGUAGUUACUCUCUUGUAUCGGCUGCAGAUGCCAGAGAAGUUGCAACCUAUAUUUGGAACAACUUUUUAGGAGGAAAUUCGGCUACUCGCCCUCUUGGGAAUGCUGUUCUGGAUGGGGUGGAUUUUGACAUCGAGGGAGGAACAAGUGCACAUUGGGAUGAUCUUGCAAGGUAUCUUUCUGCUUAUAGCAAGCGCGGUAAGAAAGUUUACUUAACUGCAGCCCCUCAGUGCCCUUACCCUGAUGCGUGGGUUGGAGGUGCCCUUCAAACAGGACUUUUUGACUAUGUUUGGGUUCAAUUCUAUAACAACCCUCCUUGCCAAUACUCUUCUAGUGCUAUAGGUAACCUUGAGGAUGCAUGGAAGCAGUGGACUUCAGAUAUUCCGGCAAAAAAGAUCUUCCUAGGCCUACCUGCAGCUCCUGAUGCAGCUGGAAGUGGCUUCAUUCCUGCAAGUGAUCUCACCUCACAAGUGCUUCCAGCAAUUAAGGGAUCUUCCAAGUAUGGUGGUGUGAUGCUGUGGUCUAAGUACUACGACGAUCAAUCUGGAUAUAGUUCUUCCAUCAAGAGCGAUGUGUGAAGUCUAAAAAUACUUAUAUUGCACUGUGUAUUACAUAGUAGUCAAAUGAUUGUCUAAGAACACUUAAGUGUCAUCGUCCUGUCAUGUGUGUAUGUGUGUGAAGACUAUGUGGUCCAUGUUUUGUAAAAAAAGUACUUUAUUUGAAGUAUGCCAAAGUCCCUAUGCAUGUUAUCUGCAGAAUGCAAGUCUAUCUAAGGGAAUCUGUCAAUUCAUAUACAACUAUAAAUUGCAGUUGCUUCGGGGUUAUUUCCAUAACAGAAGCUUUUAUAGUGCUAAAGGAAUUCAACACAACUUAACUUACAAUGGAAUUUCACCAUAUUCCUUCUAAAUAUAUUUUUUUUCUUUUUGUGGGUGUUUUGGAUUGGUACAACUUUCAAGUCAUAUCAUUACACGCUUGUUAUAUACUUAUACCCUAGAACCAGUUAAGUGAUUGAUCAUUCUGUAGUAGUCUUUUUCUUAUUUUGGCUUUGUCUAGCUUGAAAGACAACUAUUAGCUCCCAUAACAAAAUUUUAAGCUGUAAAAUGAACUAUGAACCUUUUUCCUCUUUUUGCAGAAUUGAUGUAUAAUUUACCUCAGACUCCCAUAUGGUUUUGGAGUACAUUGUAUGGGCUUAGUAUUGAUAUGUCCCAAAAGAUUAUCUCAGUUUUAACACCACAGUAAGUUAUACAUCCUAUAAUGGUAAUUAUACAUCUACAAAAUUCUAUAAUCCCUUCAUCAAUACUUAGUGUUUCCUAAAGACAAGUCUUGAAUAAUAUGAAUGUUCCAACCUUGCAUGUCUAAUAUAGUUUUAUGAUGUGUUGGAGCUAAGCUCAAACAUAUUUGGUUCACAAUUGGGGUAAUGAUCCUGUAAAGAUGGUAAAAGGUUGUUUCAUUAAGUUUUAAUUUUAAAAGGUUGAUGUAAAUGUCUGAUUAAUAUAGCUUGCAUAAUUGUAAACCAACAAAGUUAGCUUGCAUGUUUUUCCUCAAAUCUAAAUUAAGCCACAGUAGUUCUUUAUUAACCUCUUUGGAAGAGAAAACCACUUCCUUUUAAAGAAUAAAUUAAGGUUCAAUUCGAAAGAAAGGACAAAGACCAAACUAUAUAGUAUAUGCUUAAGGUCUUAGUAAUCAGCUGGUGACAAAUAUGAAAAGCUAAACAUGCACAAACAGUUUACUAAAGAAGACAACAGCAACAGACAUCAGAAUGGUAAACUUACCUAAAGUAGAGACAGAGAAUCUAAUGUUUCAAAUUUCCACUUAAGGAUGUGAACAUAUGUUAUCAACUAUACCUAAGUUUGUACCAUAGGAAAACAUGUCAAAGUUAAUAGAAGUGGCGUGACGAUAAUUGCUUAAAAAAUCUAAACUGUUAAGUUUAAUUCCUUUUGGAAGCACCUAUUAUACAUGAGGACAAUAGUUUAGAGCUAGUUUUGAAUUCUCAUCAACCCCCGUAUACGCUGACAAAAGGCUACAAUGGAGUGACUUUUAAGUUGUGCAUCUUCUUAAAAAGAGCGCAAAGUCAUGCCUAUCAUUAUAUGACAUUCCCCUUCCUAUAUAUGAUCAGAACCUAAAACAUGUUAGGCUUAACAAAAUUCAAUCCUUAAUCUAAAUAGUCUGCAACAACUAAAAAUGGCACCCCAAUUAGCAUUUUCACUAACGUUCUUACCCUUUCUGAUGUUAUUAUUAGUGGGAUUUUCAAAUGCUGGUGGGAUUGCUAUAUACUGGGGUCAAAAUGGGGGAGAGGGAACCUUAGCAGAGACUUGUGCUACAGGAAACUAUAAAUUUGUGAAUAUAGCUUUUCUUCCAACUUUUGGCAAUGGUCAGACUCCUAUGAUAAACCUAGCAGGCCAUUGCGAUCCGUAUACCAAUGGCUGCAUCAGUUUAAGCUCUGACAUAAAAUCUUGUCAAGCUAAAGGAGUUAAAGUAAUGCUUACCAUUGGAGGAGGAGUUGGAAGCUACUACCUUACCUCAGCUGCAGAUGCUAGACAAGUUGCAACUUACCUUUGGAACAACUUUUUAGGUGGAAAAUCGCCUUCUCGUCCUCUUGGUGAUGCUGUUUUAGAUGGAAUUGACUUUGACAUUGAAGGAGGAACAAACCUACAUUGGGAUGAACUUGCAAGUUAUCUUUCUGCUUAUAGCAAAAUUGGUAAAAAAGUUUACUUAACUGCAGCACCUCAGUGCCCUUUUCCUGAUGCUUGGAUUGGAAAUGCCCUUGAGACAGGACUUUUCGACUAUGUUUGGGUACAAUUCUAUAACAACCCUCCAUGCCAAUAUUCUUCUAGUGCUAUAAGUAACCUUGAGGAUGCAUGGAAUCAGUGGACUUCUGAUAUUCCGGCUACAAAGAUUUUUCUUGGGCUACCUGCAUCUCCUGAGGCAGCAGGAAGUGGCUUCGUUCCUGCGGCUGAUCUUACUGCUAAAGUUAUGCCUGCAAUUAAGGGGUCUGCCAAGUAUGGAGGUGUAAUGCUGUGGUCCAAGUAUUAUGAUGAUCAAACUAAUUAUAGUUCUUCCAUUAAGAGCCAUGUUUAGAGACCUCAAGUGCUGAAGAUUUUCUUGUGCAUAAUUUGUAUGGACUUUUUUACAUGUAAACUUGAGGGCAUAUAUGAUAUCUAUGUAAUUUGUCUGUUGUUAUAUUAAAAAAAUGGUCUUGUGAUUUGCAAUGUUCUAAGUAUGCCUUAAAUAUUAUUGAAUCAAUUUGUUCACGCAAACAAAUUCUUUUUGUUGUAUCGGUCCAAUUUUUCUAUCCAAUUUAUU